Long non-coding RNA from Petromyzon marinus (sea lamprey), 1342 nucleotides. RefSeq lists it as uncharacterized. Lineage: Eukaryota; Metazoa; Chordata; Hyperoartia; Petromyzontiformes; Petromyzontidae. The record is from RefSeq and is a predicted model, not a curated record.
AGAGACACUGGGAGAGAGAGAGACACACUGGGAGAGAGAGAGAGACACACUGGGAGAGAGAGAGACACACUGGGAGAGAGAGACACUGGGAGAGAGAGAGACACUGGGAGAGAGAGAGACACUGGGAGAGAGAGACACUGGAAGAGAGAGACACUGGAAGAGAGAGACACUGGAAGAGAGAGACACUGGAAGAGAGAGACACUGGGGGAGAGAGAGACACUGGGAGGGAGAGACACACUGGAAGAGAGAGACACAGGGAGAGAGAGACACGAGGGGAGAGGAGCGACAUGGGUACACAGGGAGAGACACGAGGAGAGAGAGACGAGGGGAGGGACAUGGGGAGAGACAUGGGUACACGCGGCCUGGAUACGAGGGGCCACGAAGACUCUGAACGCGCGGGCGCCGUGGUGAGUUGCCACGCUAUAAUAAACAAGUCGUUGGCGCUGCUGUGAGAUGGUGCAGCCCGGGACCUGGCGCCGCCUGCGCGUGCGGAGACCCCAGCAGGACGUGAACCCUCGGCCAUGUUUCUCCGUUCCUCAUCGGCGUCUGGGUAUGCCGAUUCCUUGUUCCCAGACGGCACGUGGUCCUCUUGUCAGGAGGCUGCUUGAAUGCACGUUGCUGUGAAAACUCUGCUUGGCCAUUGAGUUGGAGUUGCCACGCUAUAAUAAACAAGUCGUUGGCGCUGCUGCUGUGAAAUGGUGCAGGGCGGCACCUGGCGUUGCCUGCACGCGCGGAGACCCCCAGCAGGGUGUGAAACAUCGGUCACUUUCCUCCAUUCCCCAUCGGCAUCUGGGUACACGGAGCCCUUGUUCCCAGACGGUGUGCCUGCGGUUGGCUGCAUUUCACCCGGGCGUGGUUGCUGUGAUUGGAGGUGCUGUGUACAUCUGGCGGAACACAAUUGUUUCGUUUGUGCAACAAGAUGCUUCAAUUAUUUCUUGCUCAAAUGAGCAUUGGGGUAGUGCUGUUUACAGCUGAGCCAGUUAUGGAAAUUCCACAUUCAUAUGGCAGGGGUGAGUAUCUACAGGACAAUAAGUAGUACUUUUAUUAACCCUGGAAGGAUGAUUGCUAAGUCAACCCCCAACCAGGAUUUGAACCUGCAAACUUGAGCUGAUGGCUGUUGCUUAGCCACCUGGCUGGAUGUUUACAUUAACACUCGGGAAUUGACUAAACAUUCCUCUGUAGGAGAUUUCUAUCUGCAAAUGCUAAGUAGGUGCUUAUUUCUAUUUUUCUCAAAUGGUAUAUAUAUUUUAACAUGUAAAGCAGCUGUGAUUGUAUUCUACUUGCUGUGAACUUGACAUGGAAUUCAAUGUUGUGGUAAUAUUUAAAUAAAUAUUUCCCUUGA